RNAcentral lists this microRNA (21 nucleotides) under Citrus sinensis (sweet orange). RNAcentral's name for it is "csi-miR1515b-3p". The record is from miRBase by way of RNAcentral. Lineage: Eukaryota; Viridiplantae; Streptophyta; Magnoliopsida; Sapindales; Rutaceae.
AUCAUUCACGCAAAAAUGAUU